RNAcentral lists this non-coding RNA (27 nucleotides) under Drosophila erecta. RNAcentral also lists the same sequence under 1 other name. Lineage: Eukaryota; Metazoa; Arthropoda; Insecta; Diptera; Drosophilidae. The record is from RNAcentral.
UGGAAUGUUUUCGUCCCACCCAAGUUC